RNAcentral lists this transfer RNA (75 nucleotides) under Neolewinella aurantiaca. RNAcentral's name for it is "Lewinella sp. SSH13 tRNA-Asp". It matches the Rfam family "tRNA". Rfam says of the family: Transfer RNA (tRNA) molecules are approximately 80 nucleotides in length. Their secondary structure includes four short double-helical elements and three loops (D, anti-codon, and T loops). Lineage: Bacteria; Pseudomonadati; Bacteroidota; Saprospiria; Saprospirales; Lewinellaceae. The record is from RNAcentral.
GGUGAUGUGGCGCAACGGAAGCGCAGCGGGUUGUCUACCCGAAGGUUGCGGGUUCGAACCCCGUCUUCACCGCAA